UACGUAGGGUGCAAGCGUUGUCCGGAUUUAUUGGGCGUAAAGAGUGUGUAGGCGGUUUUACAGGUCCGUUGUGAAAUCUCGAGGCUCAACCUCGAGACGCCGGUGGAAACCGUAAAGCUAGAGUCCGGAAGAGGAGAGUGGAAUUCCUAGUGUAGCGGUGAAAUGCGCAGAUAUCAGGAAGAACACCGGUGGCGAAGGCGGCUCUCUGGGACGGUACUGACGCUGAGACGCGAAAGCGUGGGGAGCGAACAGG
RNAcentral lists this ribosomal RNA (253 nucleotides) under uncultured bacterium. RNAcentral's name for it is "partial 16S ribosomal RNA". It matches the Rfam family "Bacterial small subunit ribosomal RNA", at positions 524 to 776 of the family's 1533-position model. The record is from RNAcentral.